UACGUAGGGCGCAAGCGUUGUCCGGAAUUAUUGGGCGUAAAGAGCUCGUAGGCGGCCUGUUGCGUCCGCUGUGAAAUCCCGAGGCUCAACCUCGGGCUUGCAGUGGGUACGGGCAGGCUAGAGUGCGGUAGGGGAGAAUGGAACUCCUGGUGUAGCGGUGGAAUGCGCAGAUAUCAGGAAGAACACCGAUGGCGAAGGCAGUUCUCUGGGCCGUAACUGACGCUGAGGAGCGAAAGCGUGGGGAGCGAACAGG
RNAcentral lists this ribosomal RNA (253 nucleotides) under uncultured bacterium. RNAcentral's name for it is "partial 16S ribosomal RNA". It matches the Rfam family "Bacterial small subunit ribosomal RNA", at positions 524 to 776 of the family's 1533-position model. The record is from RNAcentral.